UUUUGAUCCGAGUCGAUUUCAGCCUGGAGAUGUUUUCCAAAAGAUUUGCUAUCUUUGCCCUUCUCUUUUUGCUCUCUGCCAAAGGACACUGUCUUCUCAGAUUUCUGGUAGUUAUAAAAGAAGCGAAUCUUUGAAUCCACAGCAUCUGGAUCAUGGAAAGAUAAAAGGUCGAUGGUACCUGUUUAUGGACACACGUAGCGCGGACGUCAGAGACAACACCUAUUGGGAUUUUGAGGUUCUUCAUGAUGGGAGCUUGGUAAAAACACGUCAUCGCUGGUUUCCAAAUUUAGAAGAAUGUCGUACCACAGCACUGAAGUUUGUUCCUUUGGAUUUGGAUUUGUCUCCAACCGAAGCAGUGAAGUUUGAAGUCAUUCGGAUGUCGACAAAAG
Long non-coding RNA from Saccostrea cuccullata (small rock oyster), 389 nucleotides. RefSeq lists it as uncharacterized. Lineage: Eukaryota; Metazoa; Mollusca; Bivalvia; Ostreida; Ostreidae. The transcript is spliced from 3 exons. The record is from RefSeq and is a predicted model, not a curated record.